This 405-nucleotide unclassified non-coding RNA is filed under the name soil metagenome. RNAcentral's name for it is "partial contains 5.8S ribosomal RNA, internal transcribed spacer 2, and large subunit ribosomal RNA". The stretch from base 1 to 121 matches the Rfam family "5.8S ribosomal RNA", at positions 35 to 154 of the family's 154-position model. The record is from RNAcentral.
GAUGAAGAACGUAGCGAAAUGCGAUAAGUAAUGUGAAUUGCAGAAUUCAGUGAAUCAUCGAAUCUUUGAACGCACCUUGCGCCCUUUGGCCAUUCCGAAGGGCAUGCCUGUUUGAGUAUCAUGAACACCUCAACUCUUUAUGGUUUUCCAUGAUGAGCUUGGACUCUGGGGGUUUUGCUGGCUCACAGUCGGCUCCUCUAAAAUGAAUCAGCUUACCAGUGUUUGGAGGGUAUCAUGGGUGUGAUAACUAUCUACGCUUGUGGUUUUUCCACCAGGUAACCUUCAGCAGUGGAGGUUCGCUGGAGCUCAUAGAUGUCUCUCCUCAGUGAGGACAGCCCUUUGAAUGUUUGAUCUCAAAUCAGGUAGGACUACCCGCUGAACUUAAGCAUAUCAAUAAGCGGAGGA